RNAcentral lists this ribosomal RNA (629 nucleotides) under Variovorax gossypii. RNAcentral describes it as "partial 16S rRNA". Lineage: Bacteria; Pseudomonadati; Pseudomonadota; Betaproteobacteria; Burkholderiales; Comamonadaceae. The record is from RNAcentral.
UCCUCCGCAUAUCUACGACAUUUCACUGCUACACGCGGAAUUCCAUCCCCCUCUGCCGUACUCCAGCGAUGCAGUCACAGAUGCAGUUCCCAGGUUGAGCCCGGGGAUUUCACAACUGUCUUACAUCACCGCCUGCGCACGCUUUACGCCCAGUAAUUCCGAUUAACGCUUGCACCCUACGUAUUACCGCGGCUGCUGGCACGUAGUUAGCCGGUGCUUAUUCUUACGGUACCGUCAUUAGCCCCCUUUAUUAGAAAAGGCCGUUUCGUUCCGUACAAAAGCAGUUUACAACCCGAAGGCCUUCAUCCUGCACGCGGCAUGGCUGGAUCAGGCUUGGGCCCAUUGUCCAAAAUUCCCCACUGCUGCCUCCCGUAGGAGUCUGGGCCGUGUCUCAGUCCCAGUGUGGCUGGUCGUCCUCUCAGACCAGCUACAGAUCGAAGGCUUGGUGAGCCUUUACCUCACCAACUACCUAAUCUGCCAUCGGCCGCUCCAUUCGCGCAAGGCCUUGCGGUCCCCUGCUUUCAUCCGUAGAUCAUAUGCGGUAUUAACACAGCUUUCGCUGCGUUAUCCCCCACGAUUGGGCACGUUACGAUGUAUUACUCACCCGUUCGCCACUCGCCGCCAGGAUU